CCUUGUGGAGGAGGACGCCGAAGGUGGGGCUAAUGACUGGGGUGAAGUCGUAACAAGGUAGCCGUACCGGAAGGUGCGGCUGGAUCACCUCCUAACAGGGAGACAACAAAAUGUUUAAUAUUAUUUUGUCACCUUAGGUCGAUCGGUAUCUCACGUUCUUAAUUUAUUAAGAAUUUCAUUUCCUAAGUUUUUCUAGGUCACACCCAUUAUUUUUCCUGGGCCAUUAGCUCAGGUGGUUAGAGCGCACCCCUGAUAAGGGUGAGGUCCCUGGUUCAAGUCCAGGAUGGCCCAUAUCUCUAUGUUGGGGGUAUAGCUCAGUUGGUAGAGCGCCUGCUUUGCAAGCAGGAUGUCAGCGGUUCGAGUCCGCUUACCUCCACUGAUUACCACCUCUUCCAUAACCGGUAGGAUAGGAAAUGUUUUGAGUUGUGAUCAAAUUCUGAAAGAAUCUAGCUUCCUAAUGAAACCAUUAAGAUGCUGGACUCAUUGAAUUAAUUUCAUUGUUUUCAGAGAACCUUGACAACUGCAUAGAUUAUUUUUAAAGACAAUAAGCAUCUUUAAUGAUGCAGAUUUAUUAUUUGUGCGAAUGCAUUAAUAACAAUUCUAUUAAGCUGAUGCUUCAAUUUUUGAAGUUAUUGGUCAAGCUACAAAGGGCUCACGGA
Molecule: unclassified non-coding RNA, 659 nt
Filed under: uncultured Prochlorococcus sp.
Lineage: Bacteria; Bacillati; Cyanobacteriota; Cyanophyceae; Synechococcales; Prochlorococcaceae
Description: partial may contain 16S ribosomal RNA, 16S-23S ribosomal RNA intergenic spacer, and 23S ribosomal RNA
Rfam family: Bacterial small subunit ribosomal RNA (bases 1-95)
Source: RNAcentral